UUGAAAGGGAAACGAUUGAAGUCAGUCGUACUUGCGGGUAAUCAGCCUUUUGGGUGUGAUUCUGUGGGGCGUGGGGAGUUAAACGCCUUCAUGCCUGCGUAUUCGUGCACUUUGGGUGUACUUGCCCGUGUGGUAGGUUAACAUCAAUUUUGAUCAUCAUAAAAUGGCUGGAGGAAUGUAGCUUCGAUCUCGUAUUGAAGUGUUAUAGCCUUCGGCAGAUGUGAUGAUCGGGAUUGAGGAUUGCAACGGAUACCCUUCGGGGCUACCUGCCUGAUCUCUGAUUGUUGCUCUGGUGCCGAAAGCGUGCUUACGGUUAUCAAAGUCGAUGGUCAACAGGUUAGAACGGGUUAAAUUCGUUAAGGAUGUUGACGUA
Molecule: ribosomal RNA, 373 nt
Filed under: uncultured Glomeromycotina
Lineage: Eukaryota; Fungi; Glomeromycota
Description: eukaryotic LSU rRNA
Source: RNAcentral